Molecule: ribosomal RNA, 407 nt
Filed under: Amphiareus constrictus
Lineage: Eukaryota; Metazoa; Arthropoda; Insecta; Hemiptera; Anthocoridae
Description: partial 16S ribosomal RNA
Source: RNAcentral
GCCGCAGUAUUUUAACUGUGCAAAGGUAGCAUAAUCAUUUGUCUUUUAAUUGGAGACUCGUAUGAAUGAUUGGAUGAGAAAUAUGCUUUUUUUAUUUUAUUAUAAAUAAUUUUCUUUUUUAGUUAAAAAGCUAAAAUGUUUUUAUUAAACGAGAAGACCCUAUAGAACUUUAUUUAAUUUUAUAUUAUUUUAAUUUUAGGCGUUUAUGUUUAUUAAUAUAUUUUUGAAUUUUGUUGGGGUGACAGUUAAAUUUUAAUAACUUUAAUUUAUUAUUAUUCAUUGAUGUAUGAUUGUUUUGAUCCAAUGAAUUGUUGAUUAUAAGAUUAAGUUACCUUAGGGAUAACAGCGUAAUUUUUUUGGAGAGUUCUUAUUAAUAAAAAAGUUUGCGACCUCCAUGUUGGAUUAAA